CUACGGGAGGCAGCAGUGGGGAAUAUUGCACAAUGGGCGCAAGCCUGAUGCAGCGACGCCGCGUGCGGGAUGACGGCCUUCGGGUUGUAAACCGCUUUCAGUAGGGACGAAGCCCUUCGGGGUGACGGUACUUGCAGAAGAAGCGCCGGCUAACUACGUGCCAGCAGCCGCGGUAAUACGUAGGGCGCGAGCGUUAUCCGGAAUUAUUGGGCGUAAAGAGCUUGUAGGCGGUUUGUCACGUCUGCUGUGAAAGCCCGGGGCUCAACUCCGGGUGUGCAGUGGGUACGGGCUGACUAGAGUGCAGUAGGGGAGACUGGAAUUCCUGGUGUAGCGGUGAAAUGCGCAGAUAUCAGGAGGAACACCGAUGGCGAAGGCAGGUCUCUGGGCUGUUUCUGACGCUGAGAAGCGAAAGCAUGGGUAGCGAACAGGAUUAGAUACCCUGGUAGUCCAUGCCGUAAACGUUGGGCACUAGGUGUGGGGGACGUUCCUCGUCGUCCGCGCCGUAGCUAACGCAUUAAGUGCCCCGCCUGGGGAGUACGGCCGCAAGGCUAAAACUCAAAGGAAUUGACGG
This 571-nucleotide ribosomal RNA is filed under the name Nesterenkonia sp. ZJ0205B4. RNAcentral describes it as "bacterial SSU rRNA". It matches the Rfam family "Bacterial small subunit ribosomal RNA", at positions 339 to 916 of the family's 1533-position model. Lineage: Bacteria; Bacillati; Actinomycetota; Actinomycetes; Micrococcales; Micrococcaceae. The record is from RNAcentral.